RNAcentral lists this small nuclear RNA (164 nucleotides) under Chlamydotis macqueenii (Macqueen's bustard). RNAcentral describes it as "Chlamydotis undulata macqueenii U1 spliceosomal RNA". It matches the Rfam family "U1 spliceosomal RNA". From Rfam's summary of the family: U1 is a small nuclear RNA (snRNA) component of the spliceosome (involved in pre-mRNA splicing). Its 5' end forms complementary base pairs with the 5' splice junction, thus defining the 5' donor site of an intron. There are significant differences in sequence and secondary structure between metazoan and yeast U1 snRNAs, the latter being much longer (568 nucleotides as compared to 164 nucleotides in human). Lineage: Eukaryota; Metazoa; Chordata; Aves; Otidiformes; Otididae. The record is from Rfam by way of RNAcentral.
AUACCUACCUGGCAGGGGAGACACCAUAAUAAGGCAGGCGGUUUUCCCAGGGUGAGGCUCAUCCCUUGCACGCCCAGUGUUCUGACCGCUGCUAUUUCCCCAAAUGCGGGAAACACAACUGCAUAAUUUGUGGUAGUGAGGGACUGUGUUCAUACUCUCCCCUA